UACGAAGGGGGCUAGCGUUGCUCGGAAUUACUGGGCGUAAAGGGCGCGUAGGCGGCCUUGUCAGUCGGACGUGAAAUUCCUGGGCUCAACCUGGGGACUGCGUUCGAUACGGCGAGGCUAGAGGACGGAAGAGGAUCGUGGAAUUCCCAGUGUAGAGGUGAAAUUCGUAGAUAUUAGGAAGAACACCGGUGGCGAAGGCGGCGAGCUGGUCCGUUACUGACGCUGAGGCGCGAAAGCGUGGGGAGCUAACAGG
RNAcentral lists this ribosomal RNA (253 nucleotides) under uncultured bacterium. RNAcentral's name for it is "partial 16S ribosomal RNA". It matches the Rfam family "Bacterial small subunit ribosomal RNA", at positions 524 to 776 of the family's 1533-position model. The record is from RNAcentral.